This 3238-nucleotide unclassified non-coding RNA is filed under the name Gigantopelta aegis. Its description in RNAcentral is "uncharacterized LOC121385352, transcript variant X2". Lineage: Eukaryota; Metazoa; Mollusca; Gastropoda; Neomphalida; Peltospiridae. The record is from RNAcentral.
UUUAGAAUAAAGUCUGUUUUGUUUAACGACACCACUAGAGCACAUUGAUUUAUUAAUUAACCCAACUUAUGAACUGGGGUAGGAUUUUGUAGCUCAAUCUUCACAACUCGUGGGGGAAAAAAUGGAGGAACAAACAAAUCAUUCGUGCAAUUAUGGGUUUAGGUGUGUGAGAUUGGAGCGACAGUGCAGAUUGUUUAUUAAUCGCCUUUAUUAACGCUCUCCAUUUGGUGAAGUCUUGUUCAUAAUUUGGAAUUUGUGAAUUCACAAUAUUCACUUGCACAUAAAAGGCGGGAUUUAAGACACGGAAGAAAACAAGUAUGGCCGACGGAAGAAUGGUGACAGUGCAUUGACAGUCUCUAAUUUCCGUUAUACAAUAGUCGAGAGAUUAUUUGCAAUCUAGAUUAAAAUAAUGCCAGGAAAUCGUUGCAUUGUGGCGGGAUGCGACAACACAUAUAAAUCUGGUAGCAUUUCAUUGCAUAUACUCCCCAGAGAUGAAGAAACCCGUGGUUUUUGGAAACAUUUCGUACAAAAGACCAGACCCGAUUUAACUAACUUCAAAAAGAGCCAUUCGCUAUGUAGUGCGCAUUUUAAAGAUGACUGUUUCGAUCACUUAACUUUUCGCUUACGGGCAGAGUUUGGAAUGACAAGUAAAACCACGUUAAAGCCAUACUCUGUUCCCACGAUAUACCCCAAAAUGAAGAAAGAGACGAUGUUUAGUGACAUUUCAAACAUUAAGAAGACAAAACGGACAUUGAGUGAUAACUUGAAAACAAUGAAUUUUAUUAUGUCAAUGAAGGCAAAACGAAUAUCGACAGACCGUAGCAGAAGAAGACCAGCUUCGGUGAGCUUAAGCAUUCGGUUCUAAUGCUGGAGGAAAGAGUUCGACCCGUAUUCCUUAAUAUCAAAGGCUCUAACUCUAAGAUUAACCCUAAAACUAACCCUAACCAUUGAAAGGGGGGUACAGGUCGAACUCACAGCCCCUGUGUAACAUACAGGCAAAAUAUGUUAUUUACGGCAUGGAAUAUCAUGUGUUAUGACAUUAGCUUCAGGAGGAUGAAUGAUGUCAACCUGGGGAUGACGUCACUAAUGUUUGGGGUUGACUAUUUGGAAAGUAAAUAGAAAACAGCUGUUCUUACCAGUAGUGCCGUGAAUCAAUUCAUAUAAAUAAUGUUGGACAGGAACAGAAACCAAAGACUCCAGUUUUAACUGACCACACUUACGCCAUUUCCACGCACCAGAACAAUCCAGACGAGAAGGGAGAUAACUCUUGUUUAAAACAGGGUAUUAUUGAUGGUAGCCCAUCCAACAAGUGUGCACGCCAUACAGCACCAGUCACCGAAUACCCUCAUCUUGUUGGAGCUGGUUUGGAAGAGUUCGUGGAGAAUCCGCUAUCAUCUUCACUGCAUGAAAUUCCAGAGGACCUAAUUACCAACGGCUUGAUCUUGGAACUAAUGUCAUUUUACCGAGAUUGUACAACAAUGCUAGCCUGGCUUCAAGUGCUCAUGGGUAAAGCGUUUCCUUCACAAUUGACAGAAACAUGUCUAUGGAAGAAGUGUUUUCGUGUGAAGAGGAAAGUCAUGAGGUUGAAAGAUGGUAUAUAUUACCUUGGGGAUUAUUUCAGCGCUGCCGACUACGAGAACGAACGUUUUCAGUGUCGUAAAGCCCCAUGUCCCACUGAGGUGUCUGUGCGAAUGUGGCUUCCUCCGUAAAUAAUUUUACUCUGCUGCAUGGUGAUGUAUUGCUAUGGGUUGUGGUGAAACGUGUUUAGCAGGUAUGAAACAUGAUUUAUGGAUGUGAAACAUGAGAUUGUGUAACAUGUUAAAUCAGAUGGUUAUGUGUUUAGCUGAUAUGAAACAUGAUGUAUGGAUGUGAAACAUGAGAUUGUGUACCAUGUUAAAUCAGAUGAUGAAACUUGUUUAGCAGAUAUGAAACAGGAUGUAUGGAUGUGAAACAUGAGAUUGUGUAUCAUGUUAAAUCAGAUGGUGAAACUUGUUUAGCAGAUAUGAAACAGUAUGUACAGAUGUGAAACAUGAGAUUGUGUAUCAUGUUAAAUCAGAUGGUGAAACUUGUUUUUGCAAAUAUGAAACAUGAUGUAUGGAUGUAAAACAUGAGAUUGUGUAGCAUGUUAAAUCAGAUGGUAAAACAUGUUUAGCAGAUAUGAAACGUGUGGGUGUGAAACAUGAUAAUGUAACAUGUUAAAUCAGAUGGUGAAACUUGUUUAGAAGAUAUGAAACAUGAUGUAUGGAUGUGAAACAUGAGAUUAUGUACCAUGUUAAAUCAGAUGUUGAAACUUGUUUAGCAGAUAUGAAACAGGAUGUAUGGAUGUAAAACAUGAGAUUGUGUAGCAUGUUAAAUCAGAUGGUCAAACAUGUUUAGCAGAUAUGAAAUGUGUGGGUGUGAAACAUGAUAAUGUAACAUGUUAAAUCAGAUGGUGAAACUUGUUUAGCAGAUAUGAAACAUGAUGUAUUGAUGUGAAACAUGAGAUUGUGUAACAUGUUAAAUCAGAUGGUGAAACUUGUUUAGCAGAUAUGAAACAUGAUGUAUGGAUGUGAAACAUGAGAUUGUGUAACAUGUUAAAUCAGAUGGUCAAACAUGUUUAGCAGAUAUGAAACAUGUGUGGGUGUGAAACAUGAGAAUUUAACAUGUUAAAUCAUAUGGUGAAACUUGUUUAGCAGAUAUAAAACAGGAUGUAUGGAUGUGAAACAUGAGACUAACAUGUUAAAUCAGAUGGUGAAACUUGUUUAGCUGAUAUGAAACAGGAUGUAUGGAUGUGAAACAUGAGAUUGUGUAUCAUGUUAAAUCAGAUGGUGAAACUUGUUUAGCAGAUAUGAAACAGUAUGUACAGAUGUCAAACAUCAGAUUGUGUAGCAUGUUAAAUCAGAUGGUCAGACAUGUUUAGCAGAUAUGAAACAUGUGGGUGUGAAACAUGAUAUUGUGUAACAUGUUGAAACAGAUGGUGAAACUUGUUUAGCAGAUAUGAAACGGGAUGUGUGGAUGUGAAACUUGAGAUUGUGUAUCAUGUUAAAUCAGAUGGUGAACUUGUUUAGUGGAAAUGAAACAGGAUGUAUGAAUGUGAAGCAUGAUAUUGUGUAUCAUGUUAAAUCAGAUGGUGAAACUUGUUUAGCAGAUAUGAAACACGAUGUGUGAGUGUGAAACAUGAGACUGUAACAUGUUAAAACAUAUGCGAUGUGUAACCGUGAACCACUUGCUUGAUUUCAUAAUAAAAAUGUAAGCUUGA